CAGCCGGACAUGCGCCUGAUUGCAGCGGAGGCUGUGAAAGAGAGGUUUCUCUCCUCCCCUCAGGAUGCCUGGAUAAUGCACCGCCAAACCGGACCGGGAGGUGCGAGAGAGAGAGAAAAUCCAGCCGGCGGGGCCGUGGGGCGCUACCGAAGAAUUUGGCCUAUUUGAGACAUCCUGAAGAGAACAAGCAUGGAUCGUUCCACGCCUUUGACCCCUUAGGAAGCUCCCACCACCUGAGGAGGCAGGAGUGGGAGUGGCUAACUGGAGGACUGCCCCAGAGCAGAGUGGCUUCAAACCAGAGAUGGAAGUGCCAUGUUUCAGCCCUGGAGGUCAGACAGGAAGUGGGCAUCCAUCACGCUCCUCUCUCCCUCACAAUUCGAGAAACCGGAUUUCCGGACAGCUUUGAAAUGUCCGUUUCUUCCCGAGUUAAGCAAUGCAGGGUAAAGAGGGAUGUGUCCAUAAUUAGAUGCCAUCUAACUUGCAGGAAAAACUUCUCUCUUACUGCUAUGUUUUGUUUUUAAAUACACCAAUAAAUGCAUCUUGAUUUUUCUUCUGA
This is a long non-coding RNA of Ornithorhynchus anatinus (platypus), 556 nucleotides long. RefSeq lists it as uncharacterized. NCBI's taxonomy places the organism in Eukaryota, Metazoa, Chordata, Mammalia, Monotremata, Ornithorhynchidae. The transcript has 3 exons. The record is from RefSeq and is a predicted model, not a curated record.